UUAUUUUUAUUUAUUUUUGUUUGUUUAUUUAAUUUUAAACCAAAGGUAUUAGGGAUAUUUUACCCUUUAAUGAAUGUCAUUUUUGUGACUUUUUCCUUCUAGUAUCAUUUUUGAGACAUAAACUUCAAAAGGUGCUAUUAUUGACAAUUGCCCUUGCUACAAUCAGAGAGAGAGAGAGAGAGAGAGAGAGAGAGAGAGAGAGAGAGAGAGAGAGAGAGAGAGAGAGAGGAAAAGCACCUAGGAAGCUUUCCCAGAUCCAAUCUCUAGAAACGACUGAAAGGAAGCUUUUCCAGAGAUCUGCUGAAACGGGUUUUCGUCCAGGAUGUGCCACGAGAAUGGUGAAUCCCUCAUCGCAUAUGCGGAAAAGAGGUUCAGAUAACAUUUCCAGUGUAGUAUCACCACAGAUGAGCAUUAAAGUAGCCGGAGGUUGCACACUCAUUCUCCAGCCAAACAACUGAGACAGACAAUCUGUUUUGAGCAAAAAGGAAAUCAACGUUGAGAACCGUUACUUGUAAAAAGAAAAAAACCAAAGGGAUAAAAAGACAUACAGCCGAAGAUGUUUGAAAUAUGGAUUCCAGAGGAAAAGAGCGCUUCCAGGAGGGAGGCAGAGCGUGGGUUGAGAUGUAGGUUGGACAUGGCAGUGAUGGUGACCGGACCAAGGUAGCCUGAAUUUUUCAAUGCCGAUCUUAUACUCCGACCAGCCAGCGAUGGACUAAAAGAAUCGGGUUUUCGUCCAGGAUGUGCCACGAGAAUGGUGAAUCCCUCAUCGCAUAUGCGGAAAAGAGGUUCAGAUAACAUUUCCAGUGUAGUAUCACCACAGAUGAGCAUUAAAGUAGCCGGAGGUUUCACACUCAUUCUCCAGCCAAACAACUGAGACAGACAAUCUGUUUUGAGCAAAAAAGAAAUCAACGUUGAGAACCGUUACUUGUAAAAAGAAAAAAACCAAAGGGAUAAAAAGACAUACAGCCGAAGAUGUUUGAAAUAUGGAUUCCAGAGGAAAAGAGCACUUCCAGGAAGGAGGCAGAGCGUGGGUUGAGAUGUAGGUUGGACAUGGCAGUGAUGGUGACCGGACCAAGGUAGCCUGAAUUUUUCAAUGCCGAUCUUAUACUCCGACCAGCCAGCGAUGGACUAAAAGAAUCGGGAAGCGGACAGCUGUCCAUGUCCCAAAGCACAGUCGUUGUCGCCAUAUGCACACUUGGCCGAAAGCAAAAAUGAGGAGCGGGGGCAAAGGAUCUGUUGAGCCUCAUCGCAUAUGCGGAAAAGAGGUUCAGAUAACAUUUCCAGUGUGUAUCACCACAGAUGAGCAUUAAAGUAGCCGGAGGUUGCGCACUCAUUCUCCAGCCAAACAACUGAGACAGGUAAUCUGUUUCGAGCAAAAAGGAAAUCAACGUUGAGAACCGUUACUUGUAAAAAGAAAAAAACCAAAGGGAUAAAAAGACAUACAGCCGAAGAUGUUUGAAAUAUGGAUUCCAGAGGAAAAGAGCGCUUCCAGGAGGGAAGCAGAGCGUGGGUUGAGAUGUAGGUUGGACAUGGC
Molecule: long non-coding RNA, 1534 nt
Filed under: Brassica rapa (field mustard)
Lineage: Eukaryota; Viridiplantae; Streptophyta; Magnoliopsida; Brassicales; Brassicaceae
Description: long non-coding RNA (BRAP_LNC007000)
Source: RNAcentral